This 1630-nucleotide ribosomal RNA is filed under the name Salmonella enterica subsp. enterica serovar Paratyphi A. Its description in RNAcentral is "bacterial SSU rRNA". It matches the Rfam family "Bacterial small subunit ribosomal RNA". The record is from RNAcentral. Lineage: Bacteria; Pseudomonadati; Pseudomonadota; Gammaproteobacteria; Enterobacterales; Enterobacteriaceae.
GACGAAAAAUGAAUACCAAGUCUCAAGAGUGAACACGUAAUUCAUUACGAAGUUUAAUUCAUUGAGCAUCAAACUUUUAAAUUGAAGAGUUUGAUCAUGGCUCAGAUUGAACGCUGGCGGCAGGCCUAACACAUGCAAGUCGAACGGUAACAGGAAGCAGCUUGCUGCUUUGCUGACGAGUGGCGGACGGGUGAGUAAUGUCUGGGAAACUGCCUGAUGGAGGGGGAUAACUACUGGAAACGGUGGCUAAUACCGCAUAACGUCGCAAGACCAAAGAGGGGGACCUUCGGGCCUCUUGCCAUCAGAUGUGCCCAGAUGGGAUUAGCUUGUUGGUGAGGUAACGGCUCACCAAGGCGACGAUCCCUAGCUGGUCUGAGAGGAUGACCAGCCACACUGGAACUGAGACACGGUCCAGACUCCUACGGGAGGCAGCAGUGGGGAAUAUUGCACAAUGGGCGCAAGCCUGAUGCAGCCAUGCCGCGUGUAUGAAGAAGGCCUUCGGGUUGUAAAGUACUUUCAGCGGGGAGGAAGGUGUUGUGGUUAAUAACCGCAGCAAUUGACGUUACCCGCAGAAGAAGCACCGGCUAACUCCGUGCCAGCAGCCGCGGUAAUACGGAGGGUGCAAGCGUUAAUCGGAAUUACUGGGCGUAAAGCGCACGCAGGCGGUCUGUCAAGUCGGAUGUGAAAUCCCCGGGCUCAACCUGGGAACUGCAUUCGAAACUGGCAGGCUUGAGUCUUGUAGAGGGGGGUAGAAUUCCAGGUGUAGCGGUGAAAUGCGUAGAGAUCUGGAGGAAUACCGGUGGCGAAGGCGGCCCCCUGGACAAAGACUGACGCUCAGGUGCGAAAGCGUGGGGAGCAAACAGGAUUAGAUACCCUGGUAGUCCACGCCGUAAACGAUGUCUACUUGGAGGUUGUGCCCUUGAGGCGUGGCUUCCGGAGCUAACGCGUUAAGUAGACCGCCUGGGGAGUACGGCCGCAAGGUUAAAACUCAAAUGAAUUGACGGGGGCCCGCACAAGCGGUGGAGCAUGUGGUUUAAUUCGAUGCAACGCGAAGAACCUUACCUGGUCUUGACAUCCACGGAAGUUUUCAGAGAUGAGAAUGUGCCUUCGGGAACCGUGAGACAGGUGCUGCAUGGCUGUCGUCAGCUCGUGUUGUGAAAUGUUGGGUUAAGUCCCGCAACGAGCGCAACCCUUAUCCUUUGUUGCCAGCGGUCCGGCCGGGAACUCAAAGGAGACUGCCAGUGAUAAACUGGAGGAAGGUGGGGAUGACGUCAAGUCAUCAUGGCCCUUACGACCAGGGCUACACACGUGCUACAAUGGCGCAUACAAAGAGAAGCGACCUCGCGAGAGCAAGCGGACCUCAUAAAGUGCGUCGUAGUCCGGAUUGGAGUCUGCAACUCGACUCCAUGAAGUCGGAAUCGCUAGUAAUCGUGGAUCAGAAUGCCACGGUGAAUACGUUCCCGGGCCUUGUACACACCGCCCGUCACACCAUGGGAGUGGGUUGCAAAAGAAGUAGGUAGCUUAACCUUCGGGAGGGCGCUUACCACUUUGUGAUUCAUGACUGGGGUGAAGUCGUAACAAGGUAACCGUAGGGGAACCUGCGGUUGGAUCACCUCCUUACCUUAAAGAA